This 429-nucleotide ribosomal RNA is filed under the name uncultured bacterium. RNAcentral describes it as "bacterial SSU rRNA". It matches the Rfam family "Bacterial small subunit ribosomal RNA", at positions 349 to 793 of the family's 1533-position model. The record is from RNAcentral.
CAGCAGUGGGGAAUAUUGCACAAUGGGCGCAAGCCUGAUGCAGCAACGCCGUGUGAGUGAAGAAGGUUUUCGGAUCGUAAAACUCUGUCCUAAGGGAAGAAACAAAUGACGGUACCUUAGGAGGAAGCCCCGGCUAACUACGUGCCAGCAGCCGCGGUAAUACGUAGGGGGCAAGCGUUAUCCGGAAUCACUGGGCGUAAAGGGUGCGUAGGCGGCUUAGCAAGCCAGGGGUGAAAGGCAUUGGCUCAACCAAUGUAAGCCUUUGGAACUGUUAAGCUUGAGUGCAGGAGAGGUAAGUGGAAUUCCUAGUGUAGAGGUGAAAUUCGUAGAUAUUAGGAGGAACACCAGUGGCGAAGGCGGCCCCCUGGACAAAGACUGACGCUCAGAUGCGAAAGCGUGGGGAGCAAACAGGAUUAGACACCCUGGUAG